UGCAGUCUUGUCAAAUUCAGUGUCUCUUGUCGGUGGACCACACUGGCCAAAAUGGCUGCAACACUAAAUUGUAGCUCCAUGUGCUCCACUUCCCUAAACAAUGGGCUGGCAGAGACAGUUGGAGCUACUGACACUC
This is a small nucleolar RNA of Engraulis encrasicolus (European anchovy), 136 nucleotides long. RefSeq annotates it as small nucleolar RNA SNORA5. The transcript has a single exon. The record is from RefSeq and is a predicted model, not a curated record. Lineage: Eukaryota; Metazoa; Chordata; Actinopteri; Clupeiformes; Engraulidae.